RNAcentral lists this long non-coding RNA (3904 nucleotides) under Aplysia californica (California sea hare). Its description in RNAcentral is "uncharacterized LOC106014183". Lineage: Eukaryota; Metazoa; Mollusca; Gastropoda; Aplysiida; Aplysiidae. The record is from RNAcentral.
GGGGGGGUGUUUUCUUCAUUAUCCAUCGAUGAAGGGGAAAAUGAUAAUGCUGCUCUCAGCAGCUUUCUUGAACCUUUCUCAACAGACCUACAUUUGGAGCAUUUCUUGCAUGUUUUUUUUUACACUGGUUUUGUAGGACAGACAUUUGUGUUAACAACCACCAAUGUUUUGACGUAUUUUAAAAAAAUGUAUAUUGCCCAUAGGUCUUUACUUAGUGUCUGUUUUAUCUGGAUGCAGAAAUAGUGGGAAGUAGAUGUGUGUAUUGUUGAAUAUUCAGCUGUUCAAACUGCAAACCAGAGCUUGUUAUAGUUUUAUUAGAGAUGGAGUACGACUGGUCCUUUUGAGAAUUAAUCUCCAUUCCACUUUGAGCUAUUGGCUAAUUUUUUGACAGUGUGAAGCAGGUAGGAAAAAUGAAAUGACAGAAUUUAUCCUUGAAAUUAUGCCGUAAAGUAAGUAAUGCGUUAUAUCGUUGGUGCUCCAUUGGAACCUUGUUUACUUGAAUUUUUUAAUUUCACAAGAGACACAGAAAUCUUUCUGACAUUGUUAAUGUGAACACCUAGCCAAUAAAAUGUUGUCAAUUUGUCAAACAGUUAAGUAUGUCUUUUACCUUGCGCAUUAUUGCGCAAUCUGAGUUAACGACAAAACAUCCUUAGGUCGGCGAGGUUUUCCGUCUCAAGCGCUGCUCCUUUGAACUUCUUCAAGGUCUCAGGACAGUGCAACACAUGGAACUGGGUUGCUCUGUACUGGCCUUGCUAUCUUUGGGUUAUCUUUAAAUGCUCAUGUUUCACUUGCUGUGGUUUGUUUUAUGAUGUCCUGAUGGCCAGCAAGUGAGUGAGUAUAAUUUGUAUAUAUUACUUUUCAGCACAUCAAACGAAAUCGAUAAAAUAAGGGACAACAUGGACAGAGAUAGAACGAGGUUCACGGACCCAUGUCACUCUUUUGGUGCUCUCUAAUAACCUUGUUAUUGUGUUACUGAAGUUCAAAGGAUGAAAUGUGCCGUUAUGGUGGAUAGUGAGGUUUGCGUAGAAUUUUAAGUUCUUUUCAAGAUAUUAUUUAAUAUUUUGGACUUGAUAUUUAGACUAUACUUAUUGUGCUUGAAGGUAUCAGGAACUUUUUAGUGCAAAAAAGUGAUUUUCGCCAAAAUUUGAACCAGCGAGGUUCCAUCAGAGCACCAACGAUAUGACAAAGGCAUACAAUAUAGCAGCUCAUACUCUACCACUUUAGGAAUAUAGGUGGAGUCUACUGCUAGGAAUAUAGGUGGAGUCUACUGCUAGGAAUAUAGGUGGAGUCUACUGCUAGGAAUAUAGGUAGAGUCUACUGCACUUCUCCUCUAUUUUGUUUCUUUAAAAUGGCGGAUUGUACUUGCCCGUUUUACAAAAAGUUUCUGUUAUUUAGGCCAGGCCCUUCUGUCUGUGUUGCCAAAUUUUCUAAUUGUGCAUGUAUGUUUGUAUAUAAUAUCAAUUUCAUUUUAAUCCUGGUUUUCAUAUGAUUUAUUUUUAUGUCAAGAAUACAAAUUUUGAGACAGUGGGCCAUUUACAAAUAUUCUGAGUGGAAAUUUUGGGAUCAGCUUCUUGAUCAAGAUAUAGGAGCCAAGGACAGGAUUCUCCGUCUGUGUACUCAUUUUUGGGGCAGGAUCGCUGAUAUGUUAACCCUUUCCUAUGUCAAUCUUCCUUACAAUAGUCACCCAUUUUUUAAACUUCCUUUGCACGUAACAUUUUAGUUUUCUGAUUCUAUUUCAUUUUAGAAGUGCCGAUUUUCUGGAUAAAUCUAGAAAUUCAAAGGCCUGAUUACCAUACGUUAAAGAUUUUUGUUUGUUUCAUAGCUAUUUGUCACUUCUGGCAUUUAGUAAAAGUGAAGGGGAGUGACACUGCUUCUGGCUGUGAUGCGUUUGUUUAGGGGAGUGAAAACAAGGCUGCAGUUUAAAGCAGUGAUAUAAUAUAUGUCAUAGCCAAGCUAUAGAAAUUAUUUGGAAGAGAAACAAAGUGCAUAUCAACCUGAGUUUAGCAUGUUUGAACUCGUAACAUGGGUGAUACAUAAAGGCUCACAUUGUUUCGGACAAGUUUAACAGGAAAGGGUUGAUAAUUUUUUAAAUUGAUUUUUAAAAGUUUUAAUUUAAACUGAUUUUGUAUAUUUAUAAACUAUUUUGUACUUUGUACUUGCGUUACCUGAUGUUGAAAUGCCUUUUGUGUUGCAAAGUUUAAGGAUUCCCAUCAUAAUCACCUUUUCUUUCAUGGAAGUGGAAUUGACAAAUUUUCAUACAUAUAUUCAUGUGCAGAUUUAAUUUGAUUUUGUUUUUUGUUUUUUGUUCUAUCUUUCUUUCUUUGUUCUUUUUUUCUUUUUUUUUCACUGUAAUUGUUAAUAGACUUUAAAAGGUUUGCUGAGAAAGGCUCAUUUGUUUUGCUGUUGCCUUCAGAGUGGCUGUUUACUGUCACAUUUAAUGAAACAAAUUUUAAGUUUUUAAGCCUAAAUUUGUUUAUUUAUACUUGUUUGUAAUCAUGAAAAGGUAUUGGUACAUUGUCUGCCACGAAGCAUACUGUUUUAGAUUCCAUGUGUACUUCAUCAGAGUCCACAGGUGUGCUGCCUCUGGUAUUUAUUUCUGUAUUGUUUGUCUUUCUACAAGUAGAUAUGUAUGUGUCUUCGUGGUGAAAUCAGGCACUUGUCGAAAUAAUGAAAUUGAAGAAACCGUCAUUUUUCUGCUGGAUGAGCAAUUUCUUUAGAUUAAAAAAAUAUUUUUCUGCAGCUCAACACGUUUCAUGUCCUUGUAAAAGCUAAUUUUUAAAGAAUUUUACUGAAAAACGUUGAUCAAAGACACAUAAGAUGUAAACUAGCAGUUUACAAGGACAUUCAAUCUUUGUAAGUGGUCAAACCUCAACGAAGCAGACUUUGUGCUGUUGAAGCUAGAGAGGUGAGCAGAGUAAGUCCGAUUCCCUGUAAAUACUUCUCUGUUGACACCCACCCCUUGGCGCUCAUCUGACCGUAUGCAGUUGCGAGCGCCCUCUACUAUAAAAUAAAUCCCUACCUUUUUCAACAGCAAAUGUUUUGAAUUUUUUUCAAGAUUGAUUGAUGUUUUAUUCAUCAAAAGCAGAAGGAACAGGCUUUAAGAUAGUACCAAUACCUCUAAGUGCCCAAAGAUUGAUGAACGUCUGAUUACACUAUGUUAUGACACUUGUAUCUGUAUCUUUGAAACAUGUUUCUUUGUAUUGGUUAAGAUGUGUAGAAUGGAACGAAUGAUGACAUAUAGAUAGUGGAAAGUUAAAUGCGCAGUAUCUUUGAAAGGCAUAUGGACUGUGUAUACACCCAAUAUAUAUAUAUAACUGUACAUUUUCUGCAUUACGUUUAGGUACACUGUGAUAAAACGUGCGUUUUGUUCUUACCAAAAACUGCCAUCAAUACAAAAUGUCCACUGUUCUGUCAAAGAAUUUUUUUAAUAAUGGGUGGAAAGCUGGGUAAACGCCUUAGUGAAAUGAAGAAUACAAACAAGCAGCAUCCCUCAUAGGGCGUCCUUGGACUUGGGAUUUAUUAUAGAUUAUCAAGGCUUUCAAACCACUCCUAGCUUUGUCUUGUCGGAGAUGGAUCUAUUGUCAAAGGAUUUCAUGAAUUGUCUGUAUAGAAUUAAAGAGGUGGUUAACCCAUACUUUGUAAAGCAGUCAACAUAAAAUAUAGUGCACCCUGCCAAUCAGAUUGGCAUCUAUGGUGUAGUAGGUAGACGCGUUGUUGUCAUUUGUAGGAGACCCAAGUUUGAUUCCCAAGUGGGGAGAAAUUUGUAUUAGUUAUCUUAGUCUUUCUGCUGCGAUAUUGUGUUUCCCUCUUAGCCCAGGUAGGCCAUGACAGGCAGGGUCAGAAGCCUGUCGUUAACAUGGUCUAACUUAUGUUGAUGGGGGCGUAAAAACACAUUUUUUAAAAA